RNAcentral lists this ribosomal RNA (435 nucleotides) under Aspergillus niger. RNAcentral's name for it is "partial 28S ribosomal RNA". The stretch from base 246 to 406 matches the Rfam family "5.8S ribosomal RNA". The record is from RNAcentral. Lineage: Eukaryota; Fungi; Ascomycota; Eurotiomycetes; Eurotiales; Aspergillaceae.
UGACCUCGGAUCAGGUAGGGAUACCCGCUGAACUUAAGCAUAUCAAUAAGCGGAGAAGCUUACCGAGUGCGGGUCCUUUUGGGCCAACCUCCAUCCGUGUCUAUUGUAACCUGAUUGCUUCGGCGGACCCGCCCUUUUCAACUCCGGGGGGGGGCGCCUCUCCUCCGCCCCUGCCCCGGAAACCCAACACAACAAUGUCUGAAAGCNUGAGAUCGAAGUUGAUUUGAAAUGGCAAAUCGUUUAAAACUUUUUAACAAUGGGAUUCUCUUGGGUUCGGCAUCAAUGAAAAAAAGCACGAAAAUGCGAUAACUAAUGUGAAAUUUGCAAAAUUUCUUGAAAUUAUCAGCUCUUUGAAACCACUUUGGCCCCCGGGAAAUUCCGGGGGGGGAUGCCUGGCCCAAACUUAUUUGCGCCCCACGCGGGGUUUGGGUGUUU